Molecule: ribosomal RNA, 329 nt
Filed under: uncultured eukaryote
Lineage: Eukaryota
Description: partial 18S ribosomal RNA
Rfam family: Eukaryotic small subunit ribosomal RNA
Source: RNAcentral
CCCUUAGAUGUUCUGGGCCGCGCGCGCGCUACACUGAUGCAUUCAACGAGUCUAAAACCUGCUCUGAUAGGGGUGGGUAAUCUUUUGAAUGUGCAUCGUGAUUGGGAUAGAUGAUUGCAAUUUUUCAUCUUCAACGAGGAAUGCCUAGUAAACGCAAGUCAUCAGCUUGCAUUGAUUACGUCCCUGCCCUUUGUACACACCGCCCGUCGCUCCUACCGAUUGAAUGAUCCGAUGAAUAUCAUGGAUUGAGGAUGUAAGCAGGUUCGCCUGUCUUCAUCUUCGAGAAGUGAAGUAAAUCUUAUCAUUUAGAGGAAGGAGAAGUCGUAACA